AGCGGCGGACGGGUGAGUAACACGUGGGCAACCUGCCUAUAAGACUGGGAUAACUUCGGGAAACCGGAGCUAAUACCGGAUACGUUCUUUUCUCGCAUGAGAGAAGAUGGAAAGACGGUUUACGCUGUCACUUAUAGAUGGGCCCGCGGCGCAUUAGCUAGUUGGUGAGGUAAUGGCUCACCAAGGCGACGAUGCGUAGCCGACCUGAGAGGGUGAUCGGCCACACUGGGACUGAGACACGGCCCAGACUCCUACGGGAGGCAGCAGUAGGGAAUCUUCCGCAAUGGACGAAAGUCUGACGGAGCAACGCCGCGUGAACGAAGAAGGCCUUCGGGUCGUAAAGUUCUGUUGUUAGGGAAGAACAAGUACCAGAGUAACUGCUGGUACCUUGACGGUACCUAACCAGAAAGCCACGGCUAACUACGUGCCAGCAGCCGCGGUAAUACGUAGGUGGCAAGCGUUGUCCGGAAUUAUUGGGCGUAAAGCGCGCGCAGGUGGUUCCUUAAGUCUGAUGUGAAAGCCCACGGCUCAACCGUGGAGGGUCAUUGGAAACUGGGGAACUUGAGUGCAGAAGAGGAAAGUGGAAUUCCAAGUGUAGCGGUGAAAUGCGUAGAGAUUUGGAGGAACACCAGUGGCGAAGGCGACUUUCUGGUCUGUAACUGACACUGAGGCGCGAAAGCGUGGGGAGCAAACA
This 694-nucleotide ribosomal RNA is filed under the name Bacillus sp. PE-R2A-57. Its description in RNAcentral is "bacterial SSU rRNA". It matches the Rfam family "Bacterial small subunit ribosomal RNA", at positions 94 to 774 of the family's 1533-position model. Lineage: Bacteria; Bacillati; Bacillota; Bacilli; Caryophanales; Bacillaceae. The record is from RNAcentral.